This is a long non-coding RNA of Poecilia latipinna (sailfin molly), 1383 nucleotides long. RefSeq lists it as uncharacterized. The transcript is spliced from 2 exons. The record is from RefSeq and is a predicted model, not a curated record. NCBI's taxonomy places the organism in Eukaryota, Metazoa, Chordata, Actinopteri, Cyprinodontiformes, Poeciliidae.
CAGAAAAAAUUAUUUUCAGACAGGUUCACACAUAAAGACGGAACUUAUCUAAAAAAUGUGACAUUUAAUUUAAUUAACUUAUUCCAAACCUCCAUUUUAUAAAAGCCGGCAUUUGAUUGAUUUACUUUCUUACUGCAGGUUGAGUUGUACAGGUGUAAUAGACGGUCGAUGUUCUUUCUUUUGCAAGUUACAUUGGAUUUAGUUAGUGUUUAUUUGGUAACAUUGUUAUGGUUUCUCUGAAAAAGAAAACCAAAUAGAGGAAGUAGAAAAUCCAAGAUGGCCGAAUGUGAUGCCGCCAUGUUCCUGUGUUAAACUGUAAAGUUUUACUUUGGAGAAGGAAAAAAACUGCAUAAAAAUUGGGUGAAAAUUUGUACGUUUGAGUUAUGAAUUGAUUAUUAUGCUAGCUUGCAGUAAGCAUGUAACAAGCAAAUUUGCAAUGUUAGUUUGUUAAUUCUAUGCUUUUUUGUUUCAGUUUUAUGAUGUCAAAGAGAAGGAAAUGGUCAUUGGCAAUUCUUCCAUAAAUCAGCACAAAAAAGAAAUAUAACUCAGGAUUAAGAUUGUUGUUUUGCUGUCUAGCUGGUGAAAAGUAGCUAAACAGCUGGUAAAAGUUAAAAAAACAAAAUCAGAAAUAAUUUAUCACAGUCUAAUUUCUGUCAUCACAGUAAACAUGGCUCUGACACAGCCACUCAGGAAAAUCUGACCCAACACUGCAAGGCAACCAGACUCACCACACUGUUUCUCUAAUCAACUUUAAUUAUUCAGUAGCUAAUUAAACCCUGGGUGGUUUUAGAAAAACCCAUGAAAACGAUUCAGGAGCUGCUGCAUUCAAUGACCGCAGGAAAUUCCAACUUCCCAGACCAGAUAAAGAAAACAGAACCAGAACUCUAUCAAGGUCAGCCAACAUUGAUUUCUUUCUUAAUUAUCUCCCAAAUAUGAAGCCAUUUCUAAGUUAAAAAUGUUUCAUAGAGGGAAAGAUAUGCUUGGAAUGAAAAAUUAAAAAAUCAAUAGCCAGGUGCCAAAACGGUGAGAGACAUGAUGGAAUCGGAGUAAAGCGUUGAUCUGACAGAAACCUGACUGGAGCAGCAGAACCUCCUCUGACGCCGUCAGUCAGGAGUCCCAGUAGAUCGUGGAGCAGCGACUCAAACUCUGCUGCUGAUUCUGGUUUUCCUCUCUCAGAUUUACAGGAGCCAUUAGUCUCUCCAGGAGGGCACAGCGGGUUUAAAGGCAGAGCAAUUAUCUCAGGAUCGCUAAUGGCUGCAGAGUGACGCCAAAUUGUGGAAAGUCCAGUUUCGGUUCUGGAGCUUCAGGUCGCAGACCCCUGAUCUAGACAAUCAACUCAGUAAAUAAAUCCAGCGGAAGCAACAGAGGGUAUACAAGAAAACA